This 1417-nucleotide long non-coding RNA is filed under the name Macaca fascicularis (crab-eating macaque). RNAcentral's name for it is "lncRNA (ENSMFAG00000054168.1)". The record is from RNAcentral. Lineage: Eukaryota; Metazoa; Chordata; Mammalia; Primates; Cercopithecidae.
UUAAGACCUUUCAGGAAGAAAUGAGGCAGGGAUAUGAGUAUUACAAAAGCCCAAUUAGUUUGUUCACCAAAAUAAAACAAUAAAAUAAAUAUCAAUGAUAUUUUAUAUUAGCAAUAGUGGAUAUCAGGCAAUUAACUUCCUUUGUGAUCUCAAGAUGAAGAUGAUAACACAUCAAUGAAAAUGCUUGGUCAUAGCAGUAGUAACAGGGAAAGAAUAGAGAAAAUUGCAUUUCAUCUGAAGAGAUGUAAGCUCAGUCUUCUGCUCCUCUUUCAUCCCCAGCACACAAAUCACCACAUCAUCAGAGCCAUCAGAGUCUGAAUCCCAAGGUUUAACCAUCUGUGUGUGGCAUAUCUACUUCCUGUUUUUCUGUUUGCAGAACGGGUUUGAAUGACAUGUUCCAUCUCCCCCAAAACUCUGCUACUGCAACUGUCCUAAGUCCAGUCCACCAAAGGACCUCUUUCUUUUGAAUCACUGUGACAAUUUCAUUUGUGGAGUAGAUACUUGAACAUUCUUAGAGUUCUGGAUGUUAACGUAUGCUGGCUUCUUUUAUUGCCUUUUGAUGUGAUCACAUCUCCAAAAUAUUUCUAAACUAUCUUUUGACGGUGAGAGUCUAACAAUUCAGUAAUGUCACUUAACUCAAUGUCUUCGAGGCCUUCACUACUCAAAUGGUUUGCAGAUGUUACAACAUUUUCAAUUUCUUCUACUACUGGAAGGAAACCUUCUGAAUCAGUCACAACCUCAUUCCAAAAUUUCUGCCAGACUUCAUUAAGUGUUGAUUGUUUUAUUUGUCUCACUGAUUCUUCUACACCUGUUAAAGCAUUACAAAUGGAGAAAUUUUGCCAAGCCACUUUCACAGUAAAGUUCUGGUGUCUCCGAUAAGAUCUGCGAGUAGUCGAAAUACAGGCCGAGCGUAGUACAUCAGAAACUUUAGCACUCUCAGAUGCAUGAGUUGAAGGAGUGGAGUCGUACUGGGGGUAAUGGAGAUGACUUGAACACAAGGAGCAGCAUUUAUGACUGCAUUUUUGUCUGUAGGAGCAGUGUCCAGAAUCAGCAACACUGUGAAGUCAAGAUUUUUUACUCUUUUAAAUAUUAUUUAACCUCAGAACAAAACACUUCAAAGACCAGUUCAAAAAGAGUUUCUCAGUGAUCCAUAUUUUAUGGUUUCCCUUCAUGUAGACAGAAAAGUGUUUCUGGCCUUCUCUUUUAAAAAGGCAACAAUUUUGGAAUCUGUUUAAUCAGAACACACUGGAACAAAGCAGAACUUCGAGUUUGUCUUUUCCAGGCUUGAAGCCUCUGGUCCUUUUCUCAUGCUUUGCAAUAGAUGUGCAAGUAGGCAUUUGCUUCCAGAGUUUCAGCAGCACUGACAACCUGCUCAAGCAAAUUGCCAUUUUCCUCAAUCAUCUUCUUCAGGUAUUCA